This is a long non-coding RNA of Triticum dicoccoides, 1205 nucleotides long. RefSeq lists it as uncharacterized. The transcript is spliced from 5 exons. The record is from RefSeq and is a predicted model, not a curated record. NCBI's taxonomy places the organism in Eukaryota, Viridiplantae, Streptophyta, Magnoliopsida, Poales, Poaceae.
UCCUCUCCCGUGCUGCCGCCGCCCCCAUCUCCCGACCUCUUCUUCGGGCGCGGCCGCAGGAGCAUCUCCACCUCUCCACUCCCUCACGCAACAGCACUCCAAACCCCCACCCCCACGCCCGGCUGCCGCUAGGGUUUCUUACCCUCGCUGCCCCGCCGCGACUCGUGUUGCGGGCAGUGAGGAUGGGAGCGGGUCGGUCGUGUCGCUUAGUGGGUGGAUGGUUGGGGAACGGCGGAUCCAGGCCCUGGCGUGGUCCUCUCCCUUCAACUCGCGCCGCCGACCUGGGCUCCCUCUUCUUCCACGGCCACAGCCUGGGGUUGCUGCCGGCUAGACGAAUAAUUAUGUGCAGGCUGCCACGACAAAGGGUUUGACUCCUACACCAAUCUCAUCAAGGCUGCUGUUCUUGACACUCCUGAUGUUGUUUUUCAGAGCAAUGCCACGCUAAGGGUGACAACCUGCUAUGGGGUGGUUCUCUUAUUGAACAUGUUUUAUAUUUCUGCAGAAUUAUGUGAUGGAGCCUUGAUAUGUACCAUGACUUAAGUUCUGGACGUGCAUCGAGUAAAUGCAGCAGCCUUGAUGUUUGAAGUUACAGGGGCAUGGACUCUAAUUUGCAACCACAAAGUUUAUACCGUUGUUGUGUGGGUCAGUCUGGGAAAUUUGCACAUCCAACUAUUUGAUCUGGGAAAUGCAACGCCUCGCCACAGAAGGGGGCUAGCCCGUCCAUGCUCACCGGUCUGGUUGUCUGGGGGCGAGGAGGGGGCGCAGCCGCGCCCGGAGGAGGUCAUCUCGGCGCCCGCAUCCUCGUCGUCUACAUUGCCCACACAGCAGGUCGUCGCUGCUGAUUAGAUCCUCUUGAAAAUAGUUAAUUUAAACUCAAGUAAAAAAAUCCCAUGUUGUUUGCUGGCCUCUUUUGAAGUUUAUUCUAACUUGCUAUUGAUUAGAUCCUCUUGCAGUUAUGUUGUGUUGUUCCAUAAAUUGCAGGCUUGAUGUAUAUAUCUAUGACUGUUUUCCCAAGAAUAACAUGCAGACGACGGCCAACGCAUUCAUGGUGGAGGGAAAGAUUGGUGUUGAUCCUGUUUGUAAGUUUCCCCCACGUACUGUUGUUAUUUAUGCUUGAUUAUGUAUGGUAUUUUCUUGAUUUGGUAACUGGAUAUACCUGCAUUAUUGUUGCCAGGCCAAGAUUUUCAAGAAACUUACAUUAAGCA